UGCCCCUCACUUGCCAAUACGUCUAGAUCAGCCAGGGCGUCGGCAUGUGUAGCGUAUUAUGUUGGGCUCUCUCGAGAUAAGGAUACGAUGUCCCUUUAUCGGUUGGUUUCCUGUGUGUGCGGCCCGUUCGUUUUUUUUGUUACUUUCGCAUCGUUCGGUGCAUUCUGGGGGCUGUGUUGGCUUUUGGUGGCUUGCUUGGCCUUUUGGCUUUGCUUGUUGCUACUUGUCGGGCUGCUUUCGGGAAUGUCGACCGUGGAGGUGCAUGAGUGGUGUUUGGUUUGUUACGUGUGGAUGGCUGUUUGCUUGUGCAACAACGUUCACGCUGCAUACCUCUUCAGUUUUGCGGCAAGGCUUGGUUUGGCUUGUGCAUAUUGUGGGUUUCCUGUGUUGCAUACCUAGUUGAUGGAAAAGUGUGGGUUUUACGAUUUUCAUUUUCGUCUUGCGUCGUUCUUUUGGCGUGGGAUGAACAAUGAAGCGAUCUUUGUGAUCCAUCGUGCUGUUGCGUUUGCAACAAUGAUGUGGCCUAUGAAGCAUCGUUUGGUCUCUUGUAUACGGAAGCUCAUUUGGGCUUGGGUCUUUAUAAGAUCUUCGUUACGCCCUUGUUAAGCGUUUUCGCUUCUCCUAAACGAUUG
Molecule: unclassified non-coding RNA, 632 nt
Filed under: Centaurea tentudaica
Lineage: Eukaryota; Viridiplantae; Streptophyta; Magnoliopsida; Asterales; Asteraceae
Description: partial external transcribed spacer
Source: RNAcentral